RNAcentral lists this ribosomal RNA (497 nucleotides) under uncultured bacterium. Its description in RNAcentral is "partial 16S ribosomal RNA". It matches the Rfam family "Bacterial small subunit ribosomal RNA", at positions 28 to 507 of the family's 1533-position model. The record is from RNAcentral.
GAUGAACGCUGGCGGCGUGCCUAAUACAUGCAAGUCGAGCGAACAGACGAGGAGCUUGCUCCUCUGACGUUAGCGGCGGACGGGUGAGUAACACGUGGAUAACCUACCUAUAAGACUGGGAUAACUUCGGGAAACCGGAGCUAAUACCGGAUAACAUGUUGAACCGCAUGGUUCAACAGUGAAAGACGGUUUUGCUGUCACUUAUAGAUGGAUCCGCGUCGCAUUAGCUAGUUGGUAAGGUAACGGCUUACCAAGGCAACGAUGCGUAGCCGACCUGAGAGGGUGAUCGGCCACACUGGAACUGAGACACGGUCCAGACUCCUACGGGAGGCAGCAGUAGGGAAUCUUCCGCAAUGGGCGGAAGCCUGACGGAGCAACGCCGCGUGAGUGAAGAAGGUCUUCGGAUCGUAAAACUCUGUUAUUAGGGAAGAACAAAUGUGUAAGUAACUAUGCACGUCUUGACGGUACCUAAUCAGAAAGCCACGGCUAACUACGUG